Molecule: ribosomal RNA, 253 nt
Filed under: uncultured bacterium
Lineage: Bacteria
Description: partial 16S ribosomal RNA
Rfam family: Bacterial small subunit ribosomal RNA
Source: RNAcentral
UACGUAGGUGGCGAGCGUUGUCCGGAUUUACUGGGCGUAAAGGGUGCGUAGGCGGAUAUUUAAGUGGGAUGUGAAAUCCCCGGGCUUAACCUGGGGGCUGUAUUCCAAACUGGAUAUCUAGAGUGCAGGAGAGGAAAGCGGAAUUCCUAGUGUAGCGGUGAAAUGCGUAGAGAUUAGGAAGAACACCAGUGGCGAAGGCGGCUUUCUGGACUGUAACUGACGCUGAGGCACGAAAGCGUGGGUAGCAAACAGG